RNAcentral lists this ribosomal RNA (488 nucleotides) under Salmonella enterica. Its description in RNAcentral is "partial 23S ribosomal RNA". It matches the Rfam family "Bacterial large subunit ribosomal RNA", at positions 1292 to 1772 of the family's 2925-position model. Lineage: Bacteria; Pseudomonadati; Pseudomonadota; Gammaproteobacteria; Enterobacterales; Enterobacteriaceae. The record is from RNAcentral.
GAAUGCUGACAUAAGUAACGAUAAAGCGGGUGAAAAGCCCGCUCGCCGGAAGACCAAGGGUUCCUGUCCAACGUUAAUCGGGGCAGGGUGAGUCGACCCCUAAGGCGAGGCCGAAAGGCGUAGUCGAUGGGAAACGGGUUAAUAUUCCCGUACUUGGUGUUACUGCGAAGGGGGGACGGAGAAGGCUAUGUUGGCCGGGCGACGGUUGUCCCGGUUUAAGCGUGUAGGUGUGUGUUCCAGGUAAAUCCGGUUCACUUUAACACUGAGGCGUGAUGACGAGGCACUACGGUGCUGAAGCAACAAAUGCCCUGCUUCCAGGAAAAGCCUCUAAGCAUCAGGUAACAUCAAAUCGUACCCCAAACCGACACAGGUGGUCAGGUAGAGAAUACCAAGGCGCUUGAGAGAACUCGGGUGAAGGAACUAGGCAAAAUGGUGCCGUAACUUCGGGAGAAGGCACGCUGACACGUAGGUGAAGUGAUUUACUCAUG